GUUUUUGUCAAUAUAAUUCUUUUAUUACUGUUAUUAGUUUAAUCGGUAUUUUCUAUCGUUUAGUUUAUCAGUUUAAUCAAUUUCCUACGUUAAAUUUGUGAACAGACCAUUUGAAUAGCUUGUGAUGAAGGAUUGCGUAAGGGUGUUAUCAGGUUUUCUUGACUCCGUAACCACUAUCACCAAAGAAGAUACUAAUUCAAUCUUCACAUUCUCUUCUCAUAAAUAUUUAACUGUUUACAGCUAUGAUUUCAAAUUCACUCAAAAAUGUUAAUAUUUGCCUUAUUCUAGGGAAGUAGUUAGGUAAUUUAAAUAAUUUUAGAAGGUAAAUUAGUUUGUAAUUAUUAUUAAAUAAAGUGAUAAUAUGUACCUACAUAAGCAUGGUACAAAUAUAAUUAAUUUAAGAUUUAUUAAUAAAUUAUGUACAUCUAAUUUAAUAAAUUAACAAAAUCGUUUUCUACAUUUGCUUCAAAAUCAUUCACAAGUUGCAAAAAGGAGCCUGUUGCUUAAAACCAGUGAUAUGGGCCCACUUCACUGCACAAAACCUUAAUUUAAGGCAAUAAAAACAAUGUUCUUAGAAGAUACAGCUUGGUUCUUGAAAUGUCAAUAACAAAUUUGCCACUUGUUUUCGUUCUCGUUCUUACCUAUCUGUUCGAUUUUUUAUUCUAUGAGCAAUACUAGUUUCAUACAAAUAGUGAACAGUGAACAGAUAUCCAAAAUCUUU
Long non-coding RNA from Diabrotica virgifera virgifera (western corn rootworm), 721 nucleotides. RefSeq lists it as uncharacterized. The transcript has 2 exons. Lineage: Eukaryota; Metazoa; Arthropoda; Insecta; Coleoptera; Chrysomelidae. The record is from RefSeq and is a predicted model, not a curated record.